RNAcentral lists this ribosomal RNA (253 nucleotides) under uncultured bacterium. Its description in RNAcentral is "partial 16S ribosomal RNA". It matches the Rfam family "Bacterial small subunit ribosomal RNA", at positions 524 to 776 of the family's 1533-position model. The record is from RNAcentral.
UACGUAGGGACCAAGCGUUGUCCGGAAUCAUUGGGCGUAAAGCGCGCGUAGGCGGCCCGGUAAGUCCGUUGUAAAAGUCGAAGGCUCAACCUUCGAAAGCCGAUGGAUACUGCCGGGCUAGAGUACGGAAGAGGCGAGUAGAAUUCCUGGUGUAGCGGUGGAAUGCGCAGAUAUCAGGAGGAAUACCCAUAGCGAAGGCAGCUCGCUGGGACGUUACUGACGCUGAGGCGCGAAAGCGUGGGGAGCGAACGGG